AGUAACGCCAGUCCAAAGGGAUUUAUUUUCAAGACGUUAUCAAUAAUAUUUUGUCAAAACACGUACGACUUUACUCGGCCCUAUUUCUUUAAACUUCGUCUAAUCUUUAGAGCUUCUUCGUAAAUCGUUCUUCUGGAACUUGAUUUUUGUGUCUCAAACUACGUUUAGCGCCGAGUACAAAAUAUUUGUCGAAGAUAUUCAAAACAAAGCUGAUUGUAAAAUAUGGAGAGGAUCUAUCAACUUCAGGAACAAUUGGUCCUCCAAACUUGCUAGGAAAAUGAACUCUGAUGUCUACAAACUCUUCUUAUUUGGUUUGUUUGUCUUUGUGUUUUCUGUCAUCACCAAAAGCUCAGGGAAUUUGGCUGAGAAUGGAGCGAACGUUUGUUCAAGAACUGUAAG
This is a long non-coding RNA of Actinia tenebrosa (Australian red waratah sea anemone), 399 nucleotides long. The record is from RefSeq and is a predicted model, not a curated record. NCBI's taxonomy places the organism in Eukaryota, Metazoa, Cnidaria, Anthozoa, Actiniaria, Actiniidae.